UGAACGCUGGCGGCAAGCCUCAUACAUGCAAGUCGAGCGAGAACGUUACUUCGGUAGCUAGUAAAGCGGCGGACGGGUGAGUAACGCGUAGGAAUCUACCUUUCAGCGGGGGAUAGCUCGGGGAAACCCGAAUUAAUACCGCAUACACCCUAUGGGGGAAAGAGGGCCUAUCCUUGGAAGCUCUCGCUGUUAGAUGAGCCUGCGUGAGAUUAGUUUGUUGGUGGGGUAAUGGCCUACCAAGACUACGAUCUCUAGCUGGUCUGAGAGGACGAUCAGCCACACUGGGACUGAGACACGGCCCAGACUCCUACGGGAGGCAGCAGUAGGGAAUAUUGGACAAUGGGGGCAACCCUGAUCCAGCUAUGCCGCGUGUGUGAAGAAGGCUCUAGGGUUGUAAAGCACUUUAGGUAAGGACGAAAAGAAUAUAGUUAAUACCUAUAUUCCGUGACUUAACUUACAGAAUAAGGACCGG
RNAcentral lists this ribosomal RNA (472 nucleotides) under uncultured Gammaproteobacteria bacterium. Its description in RNAcentral is "bacterial SSU rRNA". It matches the Rfam family "Bacterial small subunit ribosomal RNA", at positions 30 to 496 of the family's 1533-position model. The record is from RNAcentral. Lineage: Bacteria; Pseudomonadati; Pseudomonadota; Gammaproteobacteria.